RNAcentral lists this ribosomal RNA (252 nucleotides) under uncultured bacterium. Its description in RNAcentral is "partial 16S ribosomal RNA". It matches the Rfam family "Bacterial small subunit ribosomal RNA", at positions 524 to 776 of the family's 1533-position model. The record is from RNAcentral.
UACGUAGGGGGCUAGCGUUGUCCGGAAUCAUUGGGCGUAAAGCGCGUGUAGGCGGUCCGGUAAGUCCGCUGUGAAACUCGGGGCUUAACCCCGAGCCUGCUUCCGAUACGGGCAGACUAGAGGUAGGCAGGGGAGAGCGGAACUCCUGGUGUAGCGGUGGAAUGCGCAGAUAUCAGGAAGAACACCGGUGGCGAAGGCGGCUCUCUGGGCCUUACCUGACGCUGAGGAGCGAAAGCGUGGGGAGCAAACAGG